GACGAACGCUGGCGGCGUGCCUAAUACAUGCAAGUAGAACGCUGAAGAGAGGAGCUUGCUCUUCUUGGAUGAGUUGCGAACGGGUGAGUAACGCGUAGGUAACCUGCCUUGUAGCGGGGGAUAACUAUUGGAAACGAUAGCUAAUACCGCAUAACAAUGGAUGACACAUGUCAUUUAUUUGAAAGGGGCAAUUGCUCCACUACAAGAUGGACCUGCGUUGUAUUAGCUAGUAGGUGAGGUAAUGGCUCACCUAGGCGACGAUACAUAGCCGACCUGAGAGGGUGAUCGGCCACACUGGGACUGAGACACGGCCCAGACUCCUACGGGAGGCAGCAGUAGGGAAUCUUCGGCAAUGGGGGCAACCCUGACCGAGCAACGCCGCGUGAGUGAAGAAGGUUUUCGGAUCGUAAAGCUCUGUUGUAAGUCAAGAACGGGUGUGAGUGUGGAAAGUUCACACUGUGACGGUAGCUUACCAGAAAGGGACGGCUAACUACGUG
RNAcentral lists this ribosomal RNA (497 nucleotides) under uncultured bacterium. Its description in RNAcentral is "partial 16S ribosomal RNA". It matches the Rfam family "Bacterial small subunit ribosomal RNA", at positions 28 to 507 of the family's 1533-position model. The record is from RNAcentral.